Molecule: ribosomal RNA, 609 nt
Filed under: uncultured bacterium
Lineage: Bacteria
Description: bacterial SSU rRNA
Rfam family: Bacterial small subunit ribosomal RNA
Source: RNAcentral
GCACGGUCAGCAAUGGCAGUGGCGGACGGGUGAGUAACGCGUAGGAAUCUAUCCUUGAAUGGGGGACAACCGUGGGAAACUACGGCUAAUACCGCAUGAUGCCUGAGGGCCAAAGACGUAAGUCGUUUGAGGAGGAGCCUGCGUCUGAUUAGCUUGUUGGUGGGGUAAAGGCUUACCAAGGCGACGAUCAGUAGCUGGUCUGAGAGGAUGAUCAGCCACAUUGGGACUGAGACACGGCCCAAACUCCUACGGGAGGCAGCAGUGGGGAAUAUUGGACAAUGGGCGAAAGCCUGAUCCAGCAAUGCCGCGUGUGUGAAGAAGGUCUUCGGAUUGUAAAGCACUUUUGGCAGGGACGAUGAUGACGGUACCUGCAGAAUAAGCCCCGGCUAACUUCGUGCCAGCAGCCGCGGUAAUACGAAGGGGGCUAGCGUUGCUCGGAAUGACUGGGCGUAAAGGGCGCGUAGGCGGUUUAUACAGUCAGAUGUGAAAUUCCUGGGCUCAACCUGGGGACUGCAUUUGAGACGUAUGGACUUGAGUGGAGAAGAGGGUCGUGGAAUUUCCAGUGUAGAGGUGAAAUUCGUAGAUAUUGGAAAGAACACCGGUGGCGAA